Molecule: ribosomal RNA, 482 nt
Filed under: uncultured bacterium
Lineage: Bacteria
Description: partial 16S ribosomal RNA
Rfam family: Bacterial small subunit ribosomal RNA
Source: RNAcentral
GACGAACGCUGGCGGCGUGCUUAACACAUGCAAGUCGAACGAUGAAGAAGAGAAACGCGAACUUCGGUUCAAAUUUCACUUCGGAUUAGUGGCAGACGGGUGAGUAACGCGUGAGCAACCUACCUCUUACAAAGGGAUAGCCUCGGGAAACCGUAAUUAAUACCAUAUGACACAUUCAUAAGGCAUCUUAAGAAUGUUAAAGCUACGGCGGUAAGAGAUGGGCUCGCGUCCCAUUAGCUAGUUGGUGAGGUAACGGCCCACCAAGGCGACGAUGGGUAACCGGGCUGAGAGGGUGAACGGUCACAUUGGAACUGAGACACGGUCCAAACUCCUACGGGAGGCAGCAGUGGGGAAUAUUGCACAAUGGAGGGAACUCUGAUGCAGCGACGCCGCGUGAGCGAUGAAGGAAUUCGUUUCGUAAAGCUCUGUUCUAUGGGAAGAAAAGGACUGUACCAUAGGAGAAAGCCCCGGCUAAAUACGUG